RNAcentral lists this ribosomal RNA (510 nucleotides) under uncultured bacterium. RNAcentral describes it as "bacterial SSU rRNA". It matches the Rfam family "Bacterial small subunit ribosomal RNA", at positions 15 to 518 of the family's 1533-position model. The record is from RNAcentral.
GAUCAUGGCUCAGGAUGAACGCUAGCGACAGGCUAACACAUGCAAGUCGAGGGGCAGCACGGGAGUAGCAAUACUUUGGUGGCGACCGGCGCACGGGUGAGUAACGCGUAUGCAACCUACCUAUCAGAGGGGAAUAACCCGGCGAAAGUCGGACUAAUACCGCAUAAAACAGGGGCACCGCAUGGUGAUAUUUGUUAAAGAAAUUCGCUGAUAGAUGGGCAUGCGUUCCAUUAGGUAGUUGGUGAGGUAACGGCUCACCAAGCCGACGAUGGAUAGGGGAACUGAGAGGUUGGUCCCCCACACUGGUACUGAGACACGGACCAGACUCCUACGGGAGGCAGCAGUGAGGAAUAUUGGUCAAUGGGCGGGAGCCUGAACCAGCCAAGUCGCGUGAAGGAAGAAGGAUCUAUGGUUCGUAAACUUCUUUUGCAGGGGAAUAAAGUGCAGGACGUGUCCUGUUUUGUAUGUACCCUGAGAAUAAGGAUCGGCUAACUCCGUGCCAGCCGCCGC